GCCACCCUAGCUCAACUGGUAGAGCACCCGAUUUGUAAUCGGAAGGUUGUCGGUUCGAUUCCGAUGGGUGGCU
This is a transfer RNA of 73 nucleotides. It matches the Rfam family "tRNA". Rfam says of the family: Transfer RNA (tRNA) molecules are approximately 80 nucleotides in length. Their secondary structure includes four short double-helical elements and three loops (D, anti-codon, and T loops). Further hydrogen bonds mediate the characteristic L-shaped molecular structure. tRNAs have two regions of fundamental functional importance: the anti-codon, which is responsible for specific mRNA codon recognition, and the 3' end, to which the tRNAs corresponding amino acid is attached (by aminoacyl-tRNA synthetases). tRNAs cope with the degeneracy of the genetic code in two manners: having more than one tRNA (with a specific anti-codon) for a particular amino acid; and 'wobble' base-pairing, i.e. permitting non-standard base-pairing at the 3rd anti-codon position. The record is from Rfam.